This 28-nucleotide non-coding RNA is filed under the name Rattus norvegicus (Norway rat). Lineage: Eukaryota; Metazoa; Chordata; Mammalia; Rodentia; Muridae. The record is from RNAcentral.
UCAUAUGACUUUGUGUUCUUGAGUGAGC